UACCCAUUAUAGCGUCCAUUAGGUCAGUAUUUGAAUAAGUAGUAUUUUGGACAGUCUUUUUACUACGAGUGAUAACGUUAGUCACGGAGGAGGGCGUGUUGUCUUCAUUAUUACCAGGAGACAUCGUGAAUGCAUAUCAUAUCAGAUUAACGUUGACAAAAUUCAAAUUCACGUAUAAUACUGCAUUAGAUAAGCAGCCACUUCAUCUAAAUGUGUUAGAAGUUAGAAGGUUAAGUUAACGACAUAACGUUAGGUAAUCAAGUUGUGGCAAAAAUAUGACGAUUAAAUAGGCGGCCACACUGAUGUCUGACAGAAAUGAAGCAACGGUAGUCUUUAAUUCAAUAACUGAUAGUGAAUACUAUACUCACGAAUCACGAGUUGAUACUAUUGAAGCAACUUUUUAAUCUGUUAAAGACCGGGAAAAACACUGUGUGGUUACCGGAAAACACGUUCAGAUAACGUUUAACAGAUAACCACUGGUUAGAAACGAAAUUUGUACAUAAUAGCAUACGAAUAAUAUCCGAAAAAUAUUAAAAAUCAGAGAGUGACUGUUAUCAAAAGAUUAUCACAGUAAUUAACUUAUUAUUCAUUAUGUUUAAAAAUUAAUGAAA
Non-coding RNA from Cinara cedri, 611 nucleotides. The record is from the annotation of a GenBank genome assembly. NCBI's taxonomy places the organism in Eukaryota, Metazoa, Arthropoda, Insecta, Hemiptera, Aphididae.